UACGAAGGGGGCUAGCGUUGCUCGGAAUGACUGGGCGUAAAGGGCGCGUAGGCGGACAGCUUUGUCAGGCGUGAAAUUCCAGGGCUCAACCUUGGGGCUGCGUUUGAGACGGGUUGUCUUGAGUGGAGAAGAGGGUCGUGGAAUUCCCAGUGUAGAGGUGAAAUUCGUAGAUAUUGGGAAGAACACCGAUGGCGAAGGCGGCGACCUGGUCUUUUACUGACGCUGAGGCGCGAAAGCGUGGGGAGCAAACAGG
RNAcentral lists this ribosomal RNA (253 nucleotides) under uncultured bacterium. RNAcentral describes it as "partial 16S ribosomal RNA". It matches the Rfam family "Bacterial small subunit ribosomal RNA", at positions 524 to 776 of the family's 1533-position model. The record is from RNAcentral.